CCCUUACACUGGAAACAGAAGGAAUCCUCCAUGGCUUGUUUUAUGAGCCUAGUUUGCUUUGGUCACCUUUGCCCCUAUUGCAGGACAACCCUACUUUACUGGAUCACUAAAAAUCUCUUGCUUAUUG
Molecule: long non-coding RNA, 127 nt
Organism: Mastomys coucha (southern multimammate mouse)
Lineage: Eukaryota; Metazoa; Chordata; Mammalia; Rodentia; Muridae
Exons: 2
Source: RefSeq, a predicted model, not a curated record